CGAAGAUGAUGAUGAUGCAUGGGAAUUGAAUAGAUGAAUGAAAAUGUUACCUCAUCGAAGCUUUUCCUGAAUGGGGGGAACCCAAAAUCUGAUUUUAAUUGUUGGAUAUCCAUGGCAGUGUAAGUUGAUAAUGCAGCAGCAACCCCAGCUCCAGUUAUUUCAUCUCUAUGUGGAAUUAAUUCUUUUGAAGAGCAACUCCCACUACCACUGUCUCUUCUGCUGUUGGGAUCACUGCUUCCUUCACCAGUAGUUGCACUUCUAUCAGUCCAAUUGCAUUGCCUUGGCUGCGUUUGAUAAAAGAUCUUUGAAACCACAAG
RNAcentral lists this unclassified non-coding RNA (317 nucleotides) under Hevea brasiliensis (rubber tree). The record is from RNAcentral. Lineage: Eukaryota; Viridiplantae; Streptophyta; Magnoliopsida; Malpighiales; Euphorbiaceae.